Molecule: ribosomal RNA, 253 nt
Filed under: uncultured bacterium
Lineage: Bacteria
Description: partial 16S ribosomal RNA
Rfam family: Bacterial small subunit ribosomal RNA
Source: RNAcentral
UACGUAGGAUGCAAGCGUUGUCCGGAAUUAUUGGGCGUAAAGAGCGCGCAGGCGGUAUGACAAGUCAGAUGUGAAAGAGGCAGGCUUAACCGGCAAGGGUCAUUUGAAACUGUCAGACUAGAGUGCAGCAGAGGAUAGUGGAAUUCCCGGUGUAGUGGUGAAAUGCGUAGAUAUCGGGAGGAACACCAGUGGCGAAGGCGACUAUCUGGGCUGCAACUGACGCUGAGGCGCGAAGGCUAGGGUAGCAAACAGG